GCCAAGCAGCCGCGGUAAUUCCAGCUCCAAUAGCGUAUAUUAAAGUUGUUGUGGUUAAAAAGCUCGUAGUUGGAUCUCGGCGGACUGAGGGCGGUUUGCUUGCUAGUAUUACUGCCCUAUAGUCCGUAGUUUUGCCAGAGGUUUCGGGGUGCUCUUAAUCGAGUGUCCCGGGAUGCUGGCAGGUUUACUUUGAAAAAAUUAGAGUGCUCAAAGCAGGCUAUUACGCCUGAAUAUUCGUGCAUGGAAUAAUAGAAUAGGAAGUCGUUUCUAUUUUGUUGGUUUUCGGAAAUCGACUUAAUGAUUAAUAGGGACAGUCGGGGGCAUUUGUAUUCAAACGACAGAGGUGAAAUUCUUGGACCGUUUGAAGACAAACUACUGCGAAAGCAUUUGCCAAGAAUGUUUUCAUUAAUCAAGAACGAAAGUUAAAGGUUCGAAGGCGAUUAGAUACCGCCCUAGUUUUAACCAUAAACGAUGCCAGCUAGCGAUCUGCGGACGUUUUUUUUGUAGACUCCGCAGGAAGCUUCCGGGAAACCAAAGCAUUUGGGUUCCAGGGGAAGUAUGGUUGCAAAGCUGAAACUUAAAGGAAUUGACGGAAGGGCACCACCAGGAGUGGAGCCUGUGGCUUAAUUUGACUCAACACGGGAAAUCUCACCAGGCCCGGACACUGGAAGGAUUGACAGAUUGAUAGCUCUUUCUUGAUUCGGUGGGUGGUGGUGCAUGGGCCGUUCUUAGUUGGUGGAGUGAUUUGUCUGGUUAAUUCCGAUAACGAACGAGACUCUGUCCUGCUAAAUAGUGUCUGCUUCUCUUUUGAGCAGACAAUUCUUCUUAGAGGGACUGGCGACUCUUAGUCGCACGAGAUUGAGCAAUAACAGGUCUGUGAUGC
This 883-nucleotide ribosomal RNA is filed under the name uncultured eukaryote. RNAcentral's name for it is "SSU rRNA". It matches the Rfam family "Eukaryotic small subunit ribosomal RNA", at positions 566 to 1470 of the family's 1831-position model. The record is from RNAcentral.